Molecule: non-coding RNA, 79 nt
Organism: Cinara cedri
Lineage: Eukaryota; Metazoa; Arthropoda; Insecta; Hemiptera; Aphididae
Source: the annotation of a GenBank genome assembly
UUAACUUAUGAUGAUAAUUGUAUACCAAUUUUAUGAUUUUGAGUGAUUUUUAAUUACAUGCACUACCAACUGAAGUAAA